CGCGCCUCGGACGCACCCCCGCCGCCGCCGCCGCCGCCGCGGCCUCCUCCACCUCCUCCGCCUCCGACUCCGCCAUAGCCGGCCCCGGGCCCGGGCUACCGGCCGGUCCGCUACCUGUUGUGGCGCGCUGCUGCUGGCAGAGGUUGGCAGCAAUGGAUGUCGUUAGUGUGGGCAGCUGCCUGAUGGCGGGCCUGCUGUACUAUGGCACCUUGGAUGCGGGUUUUGUCUACGACGACAGCCGGGCGGUGCUGUCGAACCCGGACGUGGCGGGCGCGACGCCGGCGUGGCGGCUGCUGGUGCACGACUACUGGGGCACGCCGCUGCGGCACGGCGGCUCGCACGG
This is a long non-coding RNA of Schistocerca nitens (vagrant locust), 343 nucleotides long. RefSeq lists it as uncharacterized. Lineage: Eukaryota; Metazoa; Arthropoda; Insecta; Orthoptera; Acrididae. The transcript has 3 exons. The record is from RefSeq and is a predicted model, not a curated record.